Asparagus officinalis (garden asparagus) is the source of this 763-nucleotide long non-coding RNA. RefSeq lists it as uncharacterized. NCBI's taxonomy places the organism in Eukaryota, Viridiplantae, Streptophyta, Magnoliopsida, Asparagales, Asparagaceae. The record is from RefSeq and is a predicted model, not a curated record. The transcript is spliced from 5 exons.
UUCUUGAUUUUGCAGUCUUACCUGAACCAGAAUACGAUCUACCAAUAUUUUGCGCCAACUUUUUCACGACUGCUAGCCUAAGCAUAGUGGUCUUAGAGCAAGCCAACAAAAUACACUAAACAGAGGCAAAAGAAAGAUGCUCUACCGCACGGGGUGGCAAGUCAAGAAAUCCACCUGAUGUGGAAAAAAUGUUCUAUGAAACCUGAAAGAAAGCUAAUGAAACACUAGAUACUGGGGAUCAAGAUAAAUAUGAUGAAAUUGUUCAAGUCAAACUAGCAAACCCUUCACUUUCAGACAUUGCGAUAGUUGAGAAAAACUAGGGGAAGCAAUCUUAUGGUCACAUCAUUGUAUUUAGUGGUGGGACUAUUUUGAAAGAUUUGAGAGGAUCGCUCCCUAGUCGAUCUGAUCUGGAAGCACGAGUUAUAGAAGAAAAGAGAGAACCAGAUGUUUCAACAACGCUUAGAUGAGCAGGAGUAACAUCAACAUCAAUAACAACAUCAACAACAACAAAGGAUGUCUGACUUAGAGUCACAAAUGAAAGCUAUGCAGGAAUUUUUUUAGGCAAUCAUCUUCAUUAACUCCUCAAACUCGAGAACAUGUGCAGAACUAGGCUAUCCAUGCAAGAUUAGGAGGGGGUUACUCGAGUCUUCUUUUGACGAUGAUUAAAGAUGAAAGAUGUGUCUUUCUCAGACUUUUAUUUUAAUUUGUUUUAGAUAGUUUCAUGUAUUUUUCUUUGUUUUAGAUAGUUUCAUGUAUUUUUCUU